GAUGAACGCUGGCGGCGUGCCUAAUACAUGCAAGUCGAGCGAACAGACGAGGAGCUUGCUCCUUUGACGUUAGCGGCGGACGGGUGAGUAACACGUAGGUAACCUACCUAUAAGACUGGGAUAACUUCGGGAAACCGGAGCUAAUACCGGAUAAUAUUUCGAACCGCAUGGUUCGAUAGUGAAAGAUGGCUUUGCUAUCACUUAUAGAUGGACCUGCGCCGUAUUAGCUAGUUGGUAAGGUAACGGCUUACCAAGGCAACGAUACGUAGCCGACCUGAGAGGGUGAUCGGCCACACCGGAACUGAGACACGGUCCAGACUCCUACGGGAGGCAGCAGUAGGGAAUCUUCCGCAAUGGGCGAAAGCCUGACGGAGCAACGCCGCGUGAGUGAUGAAGGUCUUCGGAUCGUAAAACUCUGUUAUUAGGGAAGAACAAACGUGUAAGUAACUGUGCACGUCUUGACGGUACCUAAUCAGAAAGCCACGGCUAACUACGUG
This 497-nucleotide ribosomal RNA is filed under the name uncultured bacterium. Its description in RNAcentral is "partial 16S ribosomal RNA". It matches the Rfam family "Bacterial small subunit ribosomal RNA", at positions 28 to 507 of the family's 1533-position model. The record is from RNAcentral.